AGGGAAUAUUGGUCAAUGGACGCAAGUCUGAACCAGCCAUGCCGCGUGGAGGAUGAAGGUCCUUUGGAUUGUAAACUCCUUUUAUUUGAGAAGAAAUCCCCCUUUCUAGGGGUGUUGACGGUAUCAGAUGAAUAAGCACCGGCUAACUCCGUGCCAGCAGCCGCGGUAAUACGGAGGGUGCGAGCAUUAUCCGGAUUUACUGGGUUUAAAGGGUGCGCAGGUGGGUGGAUAAGUCAGCGGUGAAAUCCCCGAGCUUAACUUGGGAACUGCCGUUGAUACUAUCUACCUUGAGUGUUGUGGAGGUGAACAGAAUAUAUCAUGUAGCGGUGAAAUGCUCAGAUAUGAUAUAGAAUACCGAUUGCGAAGGCCGUUCACUACGCAAUUACUGACACUCAGGCACGAAAGCGUGGGGAUCAAACAGGAUUAGAUACCCUGGUAGUCCACGCCCUAAACUAUGGAUACGCGACAUUAGCGAUAUACGGUUAGUGUCUGAGCGAAAGCAUUAAGUAUCCCACCUGGGAAGUACGAUCGCAAGGUUG
Molecule: ribosomal RNA, 539 nt
Filed under: uncultured bacterium
Lineage: Bacteria
Description: bacterial SSU rRNA
Rfam family: Bacterial small subunit ribosomal RNA
Source: RNAcentral